UGUAACAUAAUGUAGAAUGGCAUAACACUUGAAAACAGUCUGUAACUGUAACACAAUGUAGAAUGGCAUAUUACUUGAAACCAGUCUGUAACUGUAACAAUGUAGAAUAGCAUAACACUUGAAAACAGUCUGUAACUGUAACACAAUGUAGAAUGGCAUAACACUUGAAAACAGUCUGUAACUGUUACAAUGUAUAAUGGCAUAACACUUGAAAACAGUCUGUAACUGUAACAAUAUAGAAUGGCAUAACACUUGAAAACAAUCCAAGUGAUUGUCAUGACAGAACUGGAGGGAAGUGUUCAGAUGCUUAAUGUUUCAUCAGGACCAUAAAUUCACUUAGUACGAACCCACAGGGUAUAGUGAAUAUAGAGAAGAGCCUAGGGCCUGAAAAAAGAUACUGUUAUGACCUAGAGGCAUGAGAAUGACAAUGAGUGUGGCGGUGUGUGUUGGCCUACAGAUGAGAUGGGGCUGUGUUUGUUGGCCUACUGAUGAGGAGAUGGGGCGGUGUGUGUUGGCCUACUGAUGAGGUGGAGCUGUGUGUGUGUUGGCCUACUGAUGAGGAGAUGGGGCGGUGUGUGUUGGCCUACAGAUGAGGAGGUGGAGCUGUGUGUGUUGGCCUACUGAUGAGGAGGUGGAGCUGUGUGUGUUGGCCUACAGAUGAGGAGGUGGAGCUGUGUGUGUUGGCCUACAGAUGAGGAGGUGUGUGUUGGCCUACUGAUGAGGAGAUGGGGCGGUGUGUGUUGGCCUAUAGAUGAGGAGGUGGAGCUGUGUGUGUUGGCCUACAGAUGAGGAGGUGUGUGUUGCUCUACAGAUUAGAUGGGGCUGUGUUUGUUGGCCUACUGAUGAGGAGGUGGAGCUGUGUGUGUUGGCCUACUGAUGAGGAGGUGGAGCUGUGUGUGUUGGCCUACAGAUGAGGAGGUGUGUGUUGGCCUACUGAUGAGGAGAUGGGGCUGUGUGUGUUGGCCUACAGAUGAGGAGGUGGAGCUGUGUGUGUUGGCCUACAGAUGAGAUGGGGUUGUGUUUGUUGGCCUACUGAUGAGGAGGUGGGGCGGUGUGUGUUGGCCUACUGAUGAGGAGAUGGGGCGGUGUGUUGGCCUACAGAUGAGAUGGGGCGGUGUGUGUUGGCCUACUGAUGAGGAGGUGUGUGUUGGCCUACUGAUGAGGAGGUGGAGCUGUGUGUGUUGGCCUACUGAUGAGGAGGUGGAGCUGUGUGUGUUGGCCUACUGAUGAGGAGGUGGAGCUGUGUGUGUUGGCCUACUGAUGAGGAGGUGGAGCUGUGUGUGUUGGCCUACUGAUGAGGAGGUGGAGCUGUGUGUGUUGGCCUACAGAUGAGAUGGGGCUGUGUUUGUUGGCCUACUGAUGAGGAGGUGGAGCUGUGUGUGUUGGCCUACUGAUGAGGAGAUGGGGCUGUGUGUGUUGGCCUACAGAUGAGGAAGUGUGUGUUGGCCUACAGAUGAGGAGGUGGAUCAGUGUGUGUUGGCCUACUGAUGAGGAGGUGUGUGUUGGCCUACAGAUGAGGAGGUGUGUGUUGGCCUACUGAUGAGGAGGUGUGUGUUGGCCUACAGAUGAGGAGGUGGAUCAGUGUGUGUUGGCCUACAGAUGAGGAGGUGUGUGUUGGCCUACAGAUGAGGAGGUGUUGCUGUGUGUGCAGUAAUAAAUUAUGACAAGGGGCAGGCAGCACGAUCACACUAUAUUUACACUUCACAUUCAUUACGCUGUAAACGCUAGCAUUUCAGUUCAUGAUCUAUUUAUGUUGAGAUACUCAAGCUCCUAAGCAGUGGGAUCCACUGGAAAAAACGUUGACCACGGUAAAAAAAGAGAAAUGGCAAGCUAAACAUGAAAAGAGCAGAUACAGUAACUAUGAAAAAAAGCUGUCUCAUCACUGGACUCCCAAAAGGACUUCCCAGGCCAAAGUACAAUAUGUGGCAGGCCUUUGAACUGAACAGGACCUUAGUGUUGUUUUCAGCUCAGUGUUAUUAGCACCCCCCCCGACCCAAAUACAAGGAAAAUGAAUGAUGUCUGAGGUUUAGAGAUACAUUAAAAAGUAGAGGACACCAACCCUAUCUGAACCCAUGUUUUUGUUUUCUUAAAAACCGUGAUAAAAAGAAAAUGCAUUUGGUUUCAUAGGCUAUAUAUAAAGCAUGUACACAUCAUUUAUUUACAAAUACUCUUUAUUUGCAUUUUGCUAGCAGUAUCUUGUCUUGUAAGGGCUACAUGGUGCUAAGCGCAUGUUUAUUAAUUUUUUUAAAUGUUUUUAUUUAACCUUUAUUUAACUUGGUUGUAUCAUGAUGAUACAGAACUUCAUUAUUUUAAAC
Molecule: long non-coding RNA, 2315 nt
Filed under: Salmo salar (Atlantic salmon)
Lineage: Eukaryota; Metazoa; Chordata; Actinopteri; Salmoniformes; Salmonidae
Description: lncRNA (ENSSSAG00000093174.1)
Source: RNAcentral